CAAUGUGAUUGGUCAAUUCCUUGAGACCUAUUAUUUUUGACUAGCGUCUGCGUCUAAAGGACCGUCUACAAUGAAGGUAGUAAGGCUGUGAGAGAGUGGAGUAAGGUUCUUGAAGUUAUUUCAUUUUUGUCUAUGCAAGUAAUUAUUUCGCGGUUUUUAACACACGUCUUUCAUUAGCUAACGGAAAACCCCAUGAUGUACACAAUUCUCCAUUUUCUGGAUUUAUUAAUGGAUGGAAGAUUUUAGUUUCAAACACAACUUUCUAAAAUAUAUUUACAUCUUUCUAAAAUAUAUUUAAAUUGAGAGAGAGAGAGAGAGAGAGAUGGCACUCCCCAAGUGGAAAGUUCUGAGGCAAUAUAAUAGUGAACCUAAAAACUCCACCUUUGUAGAACCCUUGCCGAACAAAUUG
This is a long non-coding RNA of Pseudomyrmex gracilis, 409 nucleotides long. RefSeq lists it as uncharacterized. The record is from RefSeq and is a predicted model, not a curated record. Lineage: Eukaryota; Metazoa; Arthropoda; Insecta; Hymenoptera; Formicidae. The transcript is spliced from 3 exons.